UACAGAGACUGCAAGCGUUAUUCGGAAUCAUUGGGUUUAAAGGGUCCGUAGGCGGUUUGGUAAGUCAGUGGUGAAAGCCCAUCGCUCAACGGUGGAACGGCCAUUGAUACUGCCAGACUUGAAUUACUGGGAAGUAACUAGAAUAUGUAGUGUAGCGGUGAAAUGCUUAGAGAUUACAUGGAAUACCAAUUGCGAAGGCAGGUUACUACCAGUGGAUUGACGCUGAUGGACGAAAGCGUGGGUAGCGAACAGG
RNAcentral lists this ribosomal RNA (253 nucleotides) under uncultured bacterium. RNAcentral's name for it is "partial 16S ribosomal RNA". It matches the Rfam family "Bacterial small subunit ribosomal RNA", at positions 524 to 776 of the family's 1533-position model. The record is from RNAcentral.